UGAGGAAUAUUGGACAAUGGGCGCAAGCCUGAUCCAGCCAUGCCGCGUGCAGGAUGACGGUCCUAUGGAUUGUAAACUGCUUUUUGUACAGGAAGAAACAGUUCUACGUGUAGAACCUUGACGGUACUGUAAGAAUAAGGAUCGGCUAACUCCGUGCCAGCAGCCGCGGUAAUACGGAGGAUCCAAGCGUUAUCCGGAAUCAUUGGGUUUAAAGGGUCCGUAGGCGGUUAGAUAAGUCAGUGGUGAAAGCCCAUCGCUCAACGGUGGAACGGCCAUUGAUACUGUCUGACUUGAAUUAUUAGGAAGUAACUAGAAUAUGUAGUGUAGCGGUGAAAUGCUUAGAGAUUACAUGGAAUACCAAUUGCGAAGGCAGGUUACUACUAAUGGAUUGACGCUGAUGGACGAAAGCGUGGGUAGCGAACAGGAUUAGAUACCCACGUAGUCCCUGAGCGGGCUGGCAAGGCGCAU
RNAcentral lists this ribosomal RNA (468 nucleotides) under uncultured bacterium. RNAcentral describes it as "bacterial SSU rRNA". It matches the Rfam family "Bacterial small subunit ribosomal RNA", at positions 355 to 825 of the family's 1533-position model. The record is from RNAcentral.